AAAAAAAAACAUAGGGCAUCAUCCGUGUCCAUCUUGGCAGUCAGGGAGGCAACAGUCAGCCAUACAUACAUUUAGUCUGGGAGCAGUAAUGGCCUCCCUCAGGAAUCCCGGUAGCAGCGGCAUGGGCCAGAGAGGAGCUCCUGGGGGAAAUCAGAAGAGCUGCAAGCAUUCAGGACUUCCCGCGGGCCGGAUUUUGAUCGCUGGCGGGCCGGAUCCAGGCUGUAGUUUGGGGACCCCUGGUAUUCGUUAUUGACGAUGAACUACUGCUUCUAGAAGCGAGUAUACGAAGGAAGAAUGAGACGUUGGAGCAGACGGAAGCCGAGAGAGUGAGGUUAAGUGAAUUGAAGCUGCAAAAUGUGGCUUUUGAAGCUUAGCUAUUUUGACAUAAAUGGAGUGCUUACCCAUAAUUAACCGGAAAAAAAAUGUCCUUGGCCAGCCGGACUAAACGAACAACUGUCCGUCGAGUGAGUAACUUUGAUAUCGAUCAUGAUCCACACAGCACGUCUUGGGUGUUAAUAAAACUACAGUACAUAA
Molecule: long non-coding RNA, 534 nt
Organism: Nerophis ophidion (straightnose pipefish)
Lineage: Eukaryota; Metazoa; Chordata; Actinopteri; Syngnathiformes; Syngnathidae
Exons: 2
Source: RefSeq, a predicted model, not a curated record